GAUGAGCGCUGGCGGCGUGCCUAAUACAUGCAAGUCGAGCGAACAGAUAAGGAGCUUGCUCCUUUGACGUUAGCGGCGGACGGGUGAGUAACACGUGGGUAACCUACCUAUAAGACUGGGAUAACUUCGGGAAACCGGAGCUAAUACCGGAUAACAUUUGGAACCGCAUGGUUCUAAAGUGAAAGAUGGUUUUGCUAUCACUUAUAGAUGGACCCGCGCCGUAUUAGCUAGUUGGUAAGGUAACGGCUUACCAAGGCAACGAUACGUAGCCGACCUGAGAGGGUGAUCGGCCACACUGGAACUGAGACACGGUCCAGACUCCUACGGGAGGCAGCAGUAGGGAAUCUUCCGCAAUGGGCGAAAGCCUGACGGAGCAACGCCGCGUGAGUGAUGAAGGGUUUCGGCUCGUAAAACUCUGUUAUUAGGGAAGAACAAACGUGUAAGUAACUGUGCACGUCUUGACGGUACCUAAUCAGAAAGCCACGGCUAACUACGUG
This 497-nucleotide ribosomal RNA is filed under the name uncultured bacterium. RNAcentral describes it as "partial 16S ribosomal RNA". It matches the Rfam family "Bacterial small subunit ribosomal RNA", at positions 28 to 507 of the family's 1533-position model. The record is from RNAcentral.